UCCUCCCUCCAAAACCCUGCUUUACCGCGGGCGUUUCGGGUGUUGGACCGCGUUGGACCGUUCGCGGCCAACUGGUCUCAAAGACAAUGACGGGCGUCCAUGGGACCCUCUUCGCACUGAGCUUUCCGGAGCACGCGUCGAGUUGCAAGGUCUUGUGGGCCCGGCCACCUCUAAAUCUAUAUUUUUCA
RNAcentral lists this unclassified non-coding RNA (188 nucleotides) under uncultured Chaetothyriales. RNAcentral describes it as "sequence contains ITS2". Lineage: Eukaryota; Fungi; Ascomycota; Eurotiomycetes; Chaetothyriales. The record is from RNAcentral.